AGAGUUUGAUCCUGGCUCAGGAUGAACGCUAGCUAUAGGCUUAACACAUGCAAGUCGAGGGGCAGCAUGGUCUUAGCUUGCUAAGGCCGAUGGCGACCGGCGCACGGGUGAGUAACGCGUAUCCAACCUGCCUUACACUCUUGGACAGCCUUCUGAAAGGGAGAUUAAUACAAGAUGUUAUCAUGAGUAAGCAUUUUCGCAUGAUUAAAGGUUUACCGGUGUAAGAUGGGGAUGCGUUCCAUUAGAUAGUAGGCGGGGUAACGGCCCACCUAGUCUUCGAUGGAUAGGGGUUCUGAGAGGAAGGUCCCCCACAUUGGAACUGAGACAUGGUCCAAACUCCUACGGGAGGCAGCAGUGAGGAAUAUUGGUCAAUGGACGAGAGUCUGAACCAGCCAAGUAGCGUGAAGGAUGAAGGUUCUAUGGAUUGUAAACUUCUUUUAUACGGGAAUAAACGAAUCUACGUGUGGAUUUUUGCAUGUACCGUAUGAAUAAGGAUCGGCUAACUCCGUGCCAGCAGCCGCGGUAAUACGGAGGAUCCGAGCGUUAUCCGGAUUUAUUGGGUUUAAAGGGAGCGUAGAUGGGUUGUUAAGUCAGUUGUGAAAGUUUGCGGCUCAACCGUAAAAUUGCAAUUGAUACUGGCAGUCUUGAGUACAGUUGAGGUAGGCGGAAUUCGUGGUGUAGCGGUGAAAUGCUUAGAUAUCACGAAGAACUCCGAUUGCGAAGGCAGCUUACUAACCUGUAACUGACAUUGAUGCUCGAAAGUGUGGGUAUCAAACAGGAUUAGAUACCCUGGUAGUCCACACGGUAAACGAUGAAUACUCGCUGUAGGCGAUAUACAGUCUGCGGCCAAGCGAAAGCAUUAAGUAUUCCACCUGGGGAGUACGCCGGCAACGGUGAAACUCAAAGGAAUUGACGGGGGCCCGCACAAGCGGAGGAACAUGUGGUUUAAUUCGAUGAUACGCGAGGAACCUUACCCGGGCUUAAAUUGCAACCGAAUAUGGCGGAAACGCCGUAGCUAGCAAUAGCCGUUGUGAAGGUGCUGCAUGGUUGUCGUCAGCUCGUGCCGUGAGGUGUCGGCUUAAGUGCCAUAACGAGCGCAACCCUUGCCGAUAGUUACUAACAGGUCAUGCUGAGGACUCUGUCGGGACUGCCAUCGUAAGAUGUGAGGAAGGUGGGGAUGACGUCAAAUCAGCACGGCCCUUACGUCCGGGGCUACACACGUGUUACAAUGGGGGGUACAGAGGGCUGCUACCACGCAAGUGGAUGCCAAUCCCAAAAACCUCUCUCAGUUCGGAUUGAAGUCUGCAACCCGACUUCAUGAAGCUGGAUUCGCUAGUAAUCGCGCAUCAGCCACGGCGCGGUGAAUACGUUCCCGGGCCUUGUACACACCGCCCGUCAAGCCAUGGGAGCCGGGGGUACCUGAAGUGCGUAACCGCAAGGAGCGCCCUAGGGUAAAACUGGUGACUGGGGCUAAGUCGUAACAAGGUA
Molecule: ribosomal RNA, 1488 nt
Filed under: metagenome
Description: bacterial SSU rRNA
Rfam family: Bacterial small subunit ribosomal RNA
Source: RNAcentral